AGUGAACGCUGGCGGUAGGCCUAACACAUGCAAGUCGAACGGCAGCACAGUAAGCGCUUGCCCCUACGGGUGGCGAGGGGCGGACGGGUGAGGAAUACAUCGGAAUCUACUUUUUCGUGGGUGAUAACGGAGGACAACUUACGCUAAUACCGCAUACGAUCUACGGCAGAAAGCAGGGGAUCUUCGCACCUUUGGCGUCUGAUUUAGCCGGUGCCGGAUUAGCUAGUUGGCGAGGUAAGGGCCCACCAAGGCGACGAUCCGUAGCUGGUCUGAGAGGAUGAUCGGCCACACUGGAACUGAGACACGGUCCAGACUCCUACGGGAGGCAGCAGUGGGGAAUAUUGGACAAUGGGCGAAAGCCUGAUCCAGCCAUGCCGCGUGGGUGAAGAAGGCCUUCGGGUUGUAAAGCCCUUUUAUUGGGAAAGAAAAGCAGUGGAUUAAUCCCCCGCUGUUCUGACGGUACCCAAAGAGUAAGCACCGGCUAACUUCGUG
RNAcentral lists this ribosomal RNA (492 nucleotides) under uncultured bacterium. RNAcentral describes it as "partial 16S ribosomal RNA". It matches the Rfam family "Bacterial small subunit ribosomal RNA", at positions 29 to 507 of the family's 1533-position model. The record is from RNAcentral.